This 30-nucleotide non-coding RNA is filed under the name Mus musculus (house mouse). The record is from RNAcentral. Lineage: Eukaryota; Metazoa; Chordata; Mammalia; Rodentia; Muridae.
UGGGCAGUAAAUAAUACUCACAGUUGCCAA